This 570-nucleotide ribosomal RNA is filed under the name uncultured bacterium. Its description in RNAcentral is "partial 16S ribosomal RNA". It matches the Rfam family "Bacterial small subunit ribosomal RNA", at positions 355 to 935 of the family's 1533-position model. The record is from RNAcentral.
UGGGGAAUAUUGCACAAUGGGCGAAAGCCUGAUGCAGCGACGCCGCGUGAGGGAUGACGGCCUUCGGGGUUGUAAAACCUCUUUCAGCAGGGAAGAAGCGAAAGUGACGGUACCUGCAGAAGAAGCGCCGGCUAACUACGUGCCAGCAGCCGCGGUAAUACGUAGGGCGCAAGCGUUGUCCGGAAUUAUUGGGCGUAAAGAGCUCGUAGGCGGUUAGUCGCGUCUGCUGUGAAAACUCGAGGCUCAACCUCGGGCUUGCAGUGGGUACGGGCUGACUAGAGUGCGGUAGGGGUGACUGGAAUUCCUGGUGUAGCGGUGGAAUGCGCAGAUAUCAGGAGGAACACCGAUGGCGAAGGCAGGUCACUGGGCCGCAACUGACGCUGAGGAGCGAAAGCAUGGGGAGCGAACAGGAUUGAGAUACCCUGGUAGUCCAUGCCGUAAAACGUUGGGCACUAGGUGUGGGGGUCCAUUCCACGGAUUCCGUGCCGCAGCAAACGCAUUAAGUGCCCCGCCUGGGGAGUACGGCCGCAAGGCUAAAACUCAAAUGAAUUGACGGGGUCAUAGCUGUUU